AUUGAACGCUGGCGGCAUGCCUUACACAUGCAAGUCGAACGGUAACGGGCCUUCGGGUGCCGACGAGUGGCGAACGGGUGAGUAAUACAUCGGAACGUGCCCGAUCGUGGGGGAUAACGAGGCGAAAGCUUUGCUAAUACCGCAUACGAUCUACGGAUGAAAGCAGGGGACCGCAAGGCCUUGCGCGGACGGAGCGGCCGAUGGCAGAUUAGGUAGUUGGUGGGAUAAAAGCUUACCAAGCCGACGAUCUGUAGCUGGUCUGAGAGGGUGAUCAGCCACACUGGGACUGAGACACGGCCCAGACUCCUACGGGAGGCAGCAGUGGGGAAUUUUGGACAAUGGGCGCAAGCCUGAUCCAGCCAUGCCGCGUGCAGGAUGAAGGCCUUCGGGUUGUAAACUGCUUUUGUACGGAACGAAAAGCCUUCUUUUAAUACAGGGGGGUCAUGACGGUACCGUAAGAAUAAGCACCGGCUAACUACGUG
RNAcentral lists this ribosomal RNA (482 nucleotides) under uncultured bacterium. RNAcentral describes it as "partial 16S ribosomal RNA". It matches the Rfam family "Bacterial small subunit ribosomal RNA", at positions 30 to 507 of the family's 1533-position model. The record is from RNAcentral.